RNAcentral lists this ribosomal RNA (500 nucleotides) under uncultured bacterium. RNAcentral describes it as "partial 16S ribosomal RNA". It matches the Rfam family "Bacterial small subunit ribosomal RNA", at positions 30 to 523 of the family's 1533-position model. The record is from RNAcentral.
AUUGAACGCUGGCGGAAUGCUUUACACAUGCAAGUCGAACGGCAGCACGGACUUCGGUCUGGUGGCGAGUGGCGAACGGGUGAGUAAUGUAUCGGAACGUGCCCAGUCGUGGGGGAUAACGUAGUGAAAAUUACGCUAAUACCGCAUACGAUCUAUGGAUGAAAGCGGGGGAUCGUAAGACCUCGCGCGAUUGGAGCGGCCGAUAUCAGAUUAGGUAGUUGGUGGGGUAAAGGCCCACCAAGCCAACGAUCUGUAGCUGGUCUGAGAGGACGACCAGCCACACUGGAACGGAGACACGGUCCAGACUCCUACGGGAGGCAGCAGUGGGGAAUUUUGGACAAUGGGCGAAAGCCUGAUCCAGCCAUUCCGCGUGCAGGAUGAAGGCCCUCGGGUUGUAAACUGCUUUUGUACAGAACGAAAAGGUUUCUACUGAUACUAGGAGCUCAUGACGGUACUGUAAGAAUAAGCACCGGCUAACUACGUGCCAGCCGCCGCCGUAA